RNAcentral lists this ribosomal RNA (940 nucleotides) under uncultured euryarchaeote. Its description in RNAcentral is "bacterial SSU rRNA". It matches the Rfam family "Archaeal small subunit ribosomal RNA", at positions 1 to 924 of the family's 1478-position model. Lineage: Archaea; Methanobacteriati; Methanobacteriota. The record is from RNAcentral.
UUCCGGUUGAUCCUGCCAGAGGGUACUGCUAUCAGAAUUCGAAUAAGCCAUGCAAGUUUACUUUUAGACUUCUAAGAGUAGCGAAGGGCUGAGUAACACGUGGUCAAUCCACCCUAUAGACGCGAAUAACCUCGAGAAAUUGAGGAUAAUACGCGAUAGAUGAUUUAUGCUGGAAUGCUUAAUCAUCCAAAUGGCUAGUGAAUUGGAACUAGUCCGCUAUAGGACGAGACUGCGGAGGAUUAGGUUGUUGGUGUGGUAAUGGCACACCAAGCCGAUAAUCUUUAGGGGCCAUGAGAGUGGUGGCCCCCAGAAGGACACUGAGACAAGGGCCCUAGUCCUACGGGAUGCAGCAGGGACGAAAACUUUACAAUGCGCGAAAGCGUGAUAAGGGGAUUCUGAGUGGUAUUAGUAUUGCUAAUAUCUUUUACCAAGUGUAAACAGCUUGGAGAAUAAGGGUGUGGGAAAGACUGGUGGCAGCCGCCGCGGUAAAACCAGCGCCUCGAGUGGUACCCACGAAUACUGGGCCUAAAGCGUUCGUAGCCUGUUUAAUAAGUCCACUGUGAAAUCUUGAAGCUCAACUUCAAGGCGUGCAGUAGAUACUGUUAAACUAGAGAGCGGGGGAGAUUAGGAGUACACCUGGGGUAGCGGUAAAAUGCUUUGAUCCUAGGUGGACUAUCAGUGGCGAAGGCGCCUAAUCAAAACGCUUCUGACGGUGAGGAACGAAGGCUAGGGGAGCGAACGGGAUUAGAGACCCCGGUAGUCCUAGCAGUAAAUUAUGCAGACUUUGGUGUUGCUAUAGAGUAAUCUAUAGCAGUGCUGUAGCGUAGGUGUUAAGUCUGCCGCCUGGGGAGUACGGUCGCAAGACUGAAACUUAAAGGAAUUGGCGGGGAAGUACACAAGCCGUGGAUGCUACGGUUUAAUUUGGAUUCAACGCCGGGAA